RNAcentral lists this transfer RNA (74 nucleotides) under Gammaproteobacteria bacterium. RNAcentral's name for it is "tRNA-Gly". It matches the Rfam family "tRNA". Rfam says of the family: Transfer RNA (tRNA) molecules are approximately 80 nucleotides in length. The record is from RNAcentral. Lineage: Bacteria; Pseudomonadati; Pseudomonadota; Gammaproteobacteria.
GCGGGCGUAGUUCAAUGGUAGAACCUCAGCCUUCCAAGCUGAUGAGGUGGGUUCAAUUCCCACAGUCCGCUCCA